Molecule: ribosomal RNA, 486 nt
Filed under: uncultured bacterium
Lineage: Bacteria
Description: partial 16S ribosomal RNA
Rfam family: Bacterial small subunit ribosomal RNA
Source: RNAcentral
AUUGAACGCUGGCGGCAUGCCUUACACAUGCAAGUCGAACGGCAGCACGGGUGCUUGCCCCUGGUGGCGAGUGGCGAACGGGUGAGUAAUACAUCGGAACAUGUCCUGUAGUGGGGGAUAGCCCGGCGAAAGCCGGAUUAAUACCGCAUACGAUCCACGGAUGAAAGCGGGGGACCUUCGGGCCUCGCGCUAUAGGGUUGGCCGAUGGCUGAUUAGCUAGUUGGUGGGGUAAAGGCCUACCAAGGCGACGAUCAGUAGCUGGUCUGAGAGGACGACCAGCCACACUGGGACUGAGACACGGCCCAGACUCCUACGGGAGGCAGCAGUGGGGAAUUUUGGACAAUGAGCGAAAGCCUGAUCCAGCAAUGCCGCGUGUGUGAAGAAGGCCUUCGGGUUGUAAAGCACUUUUGUCCGGAAAGAAAUCCUUGGCUCUAAUACAGUCGGGGGAUGACGGUACCGGAAGAAUAAGCACCGGCUAACUACGUG